AGGCCCGCUAAGAAUCUACAAACAGAUUACAGAUUAACUAUGAACUAUAAAUUUAUAUCAUUAAAGACCAUAACUCAGGUAUAUAAGCCUUCAUAACUAUAAGUCUCCUAAGAUACCAUUAUAGCACAUAGUUCAAUGAAAUCAAACUAUCUAUACUAGACAAUCUAUACUGAGUCUAUUCUGCUAUGACUCUUCUAAUAUAUAGUCUAGACUCUAAGACACUUUACAC
This 229-nucleotide long non-coding RNA is filed under the name Elaeis guineensis (African oil palm). Its description in RNAcentral is "long non-coding RNA (EGUI_LNC063270)". The record is from RNAcentral. Lineage: Eukaryota; Viridiplantae; Streptophyta; Magnoliopsida; Arecales; Arecaceae.